This 407-nucleotide ribosomal RNA is filed under the name uncultured bacterium. Its description in RNAcentral is "partial 16S ribosomal RNA". It matches the Rfam family "Bacterial small subunit ribosomal RNA", at positions 30 to 526 of the family's 1533-position model. The record is from RNAcentral.
AUUGAACGCUGGCGGCAGGCCUAACACAUGCAAGUCGAGCGGAGCGGCGGACGGGUGUGUAAUGCCUAGGAAUCUGCCUGGUAGUGGGGGAUAACGUCCGGACACGGGCGCUAAUACCGCAUACUAUCAGAUGAGACUAGGUCGGAGUAGCGAGUUGGUGGGGUAAAGGCCUACCAAGGCGACGAGCCGUAACUGGUCUGAGAGGAUGAUCAGUCACACUGGAACUGAGACACGGUCCAGACUCCUACGGGAGGCAGCAGUGGGGAAUAUUGGACAAUGGGCGAAAGCCUGAUCCAGCCAUGCCGCGUGUGUGAAGAAGGUCUUCGGAGUGUAAAGCACUUUAAGUUGGGAGGCGUUACCAGCAGAAUAAGCACCGGCUAACUUCGUGCCAGCAGCCGCGGUAAUAC